GGGAAGGUGGCUCAGUGGUAGAGCACUUGCCUUGCAUGCAUGAGACCCUGGGUUCGAUUCCUCCGCACUG
This 70-nucleotide transfer RNA is filed under the name Dipodomys ordii (Ord's kangaroo rat). It matches the Rfam family "tRNA". Rfam says of the family: Transfer RNA (tRNA) molecules are approximately 80 nucleotides in length. Their secondary structure includes four short double-helical elements and three loops (D, anti-codon, and T loops). The record is from Rfam by way of RNAcentral. Lineage: Eukaryota; Metazoa; Chordata; Mammalia; Rodentia; Heteromyidae.